This 516-nucleotide ribosomal RNA is filed under the name uncultured bacterium. RNAcentral's name for it is "bacterial SSU rRNA". It matches the Rfam family "Bacterial small subunit ribosomal RNA", at positions 9 to 524 of the family's 1533-position model. The record is from RNAcentral.
GAGUUUGAUCGUGGCUCAGGAUGAACGCUAGCGGCAGGCCUAAUACAUGCAAGUCGAACGGUAAAUAUGCAGCAAUGUAUAUGAGAGUGACGUACGGGUGCGUAACACGUAUGCAACCUACCCUUUACAGGCGGAUAGCUCGGGGAAACUCGGAUUAACCCGUCAUAAGAUCAUAGAGUGGCAUCACUUAGUGAUUAAAAUUACGGUGGUAAAGGAUGGGCAUGCGUCUGAUUAGUUAGUUGGCGGGGUAAUGGCCCACCAAGACGAUGAUCAGUAGGGGAACUGAGAGGUUGAUCCCCCACACUGGCACUGAGAUACGGGCCAGACUCCUACGGGAGGCAGCAGUAGGGAAUAUUGGUCAAUGGAUGGAAGUCUGAACCAGCCAUGCCGCGUGCAGGAAGAAGGCCUUCUGGGUUGUAAACUGCUUUUGCCAGGGGCUAAAAAGCCCAUGCGUGGGAAAUUGAAAGUACCUGGUGAAUAAGCACCGGCUAACUACGUGCCAGCCGCCGCCGUAAG